GAUGAAGAACGCAGCGAAAUGCGAUAAGUAAUGUGAAUUGCAGAAUUCAGUGAAUCAUCGAAUCUUUGAACGCACCUUGCGCUCUUUGGUAUUCCGAAGAGCAUGCCUGUUUGAGUGUCAUGAAAAUAUCAACCUUGACUUGGGUUUUGUGCUCUGGUCUCGGCUUGGAAUUGGGUGCUUGCCGCUUUUACGAGCGGCUCACCUUAAAUGUAUUAGCUGGAUCUGUCUUUGAGACUUGGUUUGACUUGGCGUAAUAAGUAUUUCGCUAAGGACAUUCUUCGGAGUGGCCUCGUUUCUAGGACGCUUGUCCGCUUUCCAAUACAAGUUCCACCCCGUGGACAUGACUUUUUAUUAUCUGGCCUCAAAUCAGGUAGGACUACCCGCUGAACUUAAGCAUAUCAAUAAGCGGAGGA
RNAcentral lists this unclassified non-coding RNA (413 nucleotides) under soil metagenome. RNAcentral's name for it is "partial contains 5.8S ribosomal RNA, internal transcribed spacer 2, and large subunit ribosomal RNA". The stretch from base 1 to 120 matches the Rfam family "5.8S ribosomal RNA", at positions 35 to 154 of the family's 154-position model. The record is from RNAcentral.